This 4410-nucleotide long non-coding RNA is filed under the name Homo sapiens (human). RNAcentral's name for it is "HSALNT0369440". Lineage: Eukaryota; Metazoa; Chordata; Mammalia; Primates; Hominidae. The record is from RNAcentral.
CAUAUGUAACAAACCUGCACGUUGUGCACAUGUACCCUAGAACUUAAAGUAUAAUAAAAAAAAUUCAAGACCUUGUGUGAAACAAAGAUCUCAAAAUCGCAGGUCACAGCCAAAUGUGACCAAGAUGUAUUUAAGUUGGGGCCAUAUCACAUUUUAAGAAAAUGAACCAGCAUAUUAAAUUUAGUAGGUUUCACAUACAAAUCUAGAUCUCCAGUUUCUCUAGAAAAAUUGUGAAGUCUAGCAGCACCAGGCCUGUGUUCUUGAAUAACAGCAAUCAAUUGAACCAGAUGAUCAGCCUAGUGGUUUGCCAUAGAACUCACUAUUCCCAGGGGCAUUUAUCAUACAGCUUGCAUUUUUUUUCAUUCUGAGUUUAAAAUAUAUUUUUUACCUCUUAUUUAUUUUAUGUUAUAUGCUUACACCAUAGUUCCCUAACCAUACAGAAAGUGUGAUACAUACCUACAAUUGAUUUUUCUCCCAUCCACCCUCUUCUGUAGGCAUCUGAGUUGUCAACCACUGCCCUGAAAACAAUUUUUAGUUAAAUGAGGCUGCACCAGUCCCGUGUAACCACUAGAUGGAGUCUAUUUGGCCUUGCUUGUUUCAGCUGCUCCUCAAUGUUUUGAUAACCUGAUAACCACACCAGAGCUGGUCUACAGACAAAAGGUUUACAGAAUCAAUAGUACGAUUUUCUUUUCCAGUAGUUUUCAGGGCUAAAUGUCACUCUGGUAAAAUUUUCCAUUAUAAUUUGUAAAUCUAAAUAUAUAUGUAUGAGAAUAUGCAUGGGAAAACAUAUGAGUUCAUAAUCACUCAAAUAAAGUAUUAUUGGAACUCCAAAACAGAAGGCAUUUGAUACUGCUAUUUCAGGGUUCACCUAGUUUUUAUCAACUUCAGGUGGAAAAUUAUCAAAGAAGAAAACAGGUAUUAUUUUUAUGGAAUGACAUAUUCUUAUCCUACCAUAAAUGUCUGAGUGUAGAGUUACAAUUUCUAUUAUUAGCAAAAGGGAAAAUAUUUUAAUAUAGGUUGUUUAUAAUAAAUAGUUUUUCAACUGAAGAAAAGUUAACCAUGUGCCGUUCACCCAAUUCACAUUCAUCUUUGCACCUUCUUAAAUUUGUUUUUAAAUUUGUCAAUAACUUGAUGGUUUUACACAAGGAUAGACCAGUAAAAUUGAUUUUCAGUCUGACAUCAAGGGCAAUACAGAUCCCAGGGGAGCAAGGCCAGCUAGCAUGAGGAUACUAUGCUACCAAUGUGUGAAUUACUGGGCUGCGAAGGAAGCCUAGAGGAAAUGAAAAAAUGUAUUUAUUUAGAUAUAACAAUGUGUGACUCUUCCCACUAGAAAUUAGAUGAAUCAUUUUGGUACUAAUUUAAAGCCAUUUUAACACAUAAAUGUCCUGUCAUUGGUUCAAUUUAUGUAGUAUCAGCUGUAUGUCCUAAACUGAGGUUAAGUCUACAGGUACAAAAAUAAGAAGGAAAUGGUUGGUCCUUACACCAAAGAAAUUUGGAGUCUGGAAAAAAAAAAUCACAUACAGGAAUAAUAAUUGUAAAGAAAAUGCAACAACUGAAAUUUAUAUAUUAUAAAAUGGUAUGCACAUAUAUUUGGUUUAUAAAUAACAUAAAUAUAACAUAUAAUGCAUCAGACAGAAGUAAAAGCUUUAAAUUUCAGUUAUAAAAUGAAAACAUAUUGCUAUGAAUAAUGAAAACUAAAUUAAUAAAAAAUUUUAUGUUAUCAUUCUGGAAAAUCUUUCAAAAACAGUCUUUGGGGUAGUAUAACUUUGUGACCAGAUGCUCAUAGCUCAAAUAUAAAGAUUAGUCAAAAUUGGCAAAAAGCUAUGUUCUACAGAACAAAUUAUCACUUGCUUCACAAAUAGCAAGUGUGCUCACCUAAGGAAAAUCAUGCUUGUACGAAAAAAGAUAGUUCCCUAGUUUCCAAAUUGUAGUAAAAAUGCAGUGAUCAUGGGCAACUUCAAAACCACAUCAAAGAAAACUGUAUGAAAAAGCAGACAGGGAAUGCAUAUUUUCAAAAUGCCACAAUGUUACAUUGCAAACCCUGGUCUAAACCGUAACAAAAAAUAAAACUAAUUUAAAAACCAAUUAUAAUAUCUGAGGAAACAGAUUACUAAAAGUAUGGAUAAAUGAAUUGUUCUUGAGAAUAUGUAUAAUUUCCAUAGAAAGAGUUAUAUAAAAUACUUGCACCUUACUUUUAAACAUAUUAAUCAUACACAUUUUUGUUUGUUUUACUUGUACACAUACAGGCAGCCAUUGAAAAGAUUAAAAUUUUAACUACAAUGAACAACUUAUUCUUUAGUCCAUGCAUUAACUAUGCAUUCAGGUAAAUAUCUGUGAAAAUAAUCAGUUAUUCUAAAACUGCUUAAGAUCUGGAAUGAUAGUAAAACUAUCUUUUUUGGAAGAGAAUUUUUCAGGAAUAUAAAUAUUUUCAUAUAACAUAAGAAGCUUCUAGAAAUGUAACAUUUUUAGACAGUUACAAUUUAUUAGAUACAGCAUUGAAAUAAUUUUCAUUGAAGAUGAUAUUAUGCUAAGCCAAUUUAUUUUGAGAUAUGUCUCUUAAAACCAGGAAAGUUAGAGAUGUUAUCUAAAAAAGAAAAAUCUUUCUUUUAAAGAUGAAAACAUUACAUUUACACUUACAAGUAAAAUGUAUUAUUAUUUAUCUAAAACACAGAGGAAUACUUAUUUUAUAUUUAAGAAUCGCAUUGUAUUAAAUUUUUCAAGAACAAUUACAAAACGCUAUCUUACAUUCAAAAUAGUUAUCUGAUAGUGGUCUAGAAAACAUUUACUAGCACAUUUCUUCUCAAAUAAUUUUCUUCAAAUGAAAGAGUAAAUACCAUUACUCAGAAUUAUCAUUUUUCUCAUUACCAGUUUCUUCACACAUGGGUUUCAAUCAAUAUUUAGUCAUUUUCAGACUAUGUAUUCACAAGCAAAGUGAAAUAGAUAAUUAUUUAAUCCCUUUAGUUCAAGCUCAAAAUAAUCAGUAUUUCAAUAAUCUUUGCUUUCAAGACUACUGUGAUUUUCAGACUGUAAUUUCACAGAAAAUUAGUUAAAUCCUGUAUUUCCCUAUGUAUAUGUGCUCAGUCUUGAUAAGGAAUAUUGUCUUCCAUUUCCUUGAUACUUAUGUUAAAAUUUACAAGAAAAUCAUCAGAAUUCAUCACAUCUUGUAAAGCAUAUUUUGUUAAUUUUAAAACAGUAUUUCUGUGUAACAGGCCAUUGUGGACAGAGAAAAUAAUUCUACGUCAAGGAGAAGUCCAAGGUCUAAAAGAAUGGAAAAUGCAAUUGAUGCCUGUUAUUAACACACAACAGGACUAGGGUGCAUGCAAUAAAAAGGAAAGAAAAUACACAGACAAAGAAUAAUUAAGGAUUGCAUCCACUUUUUACCAUUUUAACAUCUCUCCACUAUAGACAUUAAUAAUUGGGUAAUUGUAACUUUCUCCUGCUUUUACUCACUGGAGAGUUGCUGCCAAUAUCUCUAAUCAUCACAGCAUGUGCCAUUUGGCUGAAAAAGUGAAGGCAGUUUAGUAUAGAGAGAGAAAACAUUCAGGAUGAAGUGGGUUGUGAGAUGAACUGGAAAGGCAUGAAGAAACAAUAUUAGACAUGAUACAGAGUCUUGUUAUGCCCAUCGAGUUUAGACUAACCCGAAAAACAAUGUGUAAUAAUUGAAAAAUGUUCAUCCUCUUUAAAAGUAAGUGCUUUCCACAUUCUUAAAAUGUAAUGAUUAUUGCAUAAACUAGAAUCAUUAAUGUAAUGAUUAUUGCAUAAACUCGAUUAUUGCGUAAUAGGGGUAAAAAUAAAUAAGCUUAUUUGAGAAAUAUUAAGAAUGGGGCCACAGUUUGGGUUUUAGCAACUGAUUGGAAAGUGAUGCCAUUCACAUUGGACACGUUUAAAUUUGAGACGCUAGUGGAACAACCAUGUAUAGACACCUACUCGGCAAUCCUGCAUAUGAUCUCAACAUCAGAAGAGAGAUGUGGGCUGAUGACACAGAACUGAGAAUAGCCAGCGUUGCCACUGGGAGUAACCAUCACAUAUGUGGCAAAAAAGGCCAUUGGCGCAGAUAUAAUCACCCAGGCGGGAUGUGUAAAAUGGAAAAAGAAGGCAACCUAGAAGCAGGAUUCAACGUAUCAGAUACAGUAAUGAAGACAAUAAGAAAUUGGAUUGAUCCAGGUCUGGAGUUUUGCCACAGAGUGAAAUGGAACAACAAUAUGCAGGAGAAGUGAGGAUACUGAAUUCUACUUGAAAAUUAUACAGAAACAAUUUCUUAGAAUGCUCACAAAAGACCUGAAAACAUGGGGAGGAAGCAGGGCAUUUACAGCAGGUCUUCUCUGACACUGUGCUGGUGGGCAGGGAGCCACCUCAUUACUACCAGGCACAGAUGCAGUCUUGCUCUGUUGCCAGGCUGGAGUGCAGUGG